This 332-nucleotide ribosomal RNA is filed under the name uncultured bacterium. RNAcentral describes it as "bacterial SSU rRNA". It matches the Rfam family "Bacterial small subunit ribosomal RNA", at positions 568 to 898 of the family's 1533-position model. The record is from RNAcentral.
CAUGCAGGCGGUCGUACGCGUUUUGUGUGACAGCGGGUGGCUUAACUACCCGAGUAUGCGAAAGACGGUAUGACUUGAGGGCUCGAGAGGGACACGGAAUUCCGGGUGGAGUGGUGAAAUGCGUAGAGAUCCGGAGGAACACCGAAGGCGAAGGCAGUGUCCUGGCGAGUGACUGACGCUGAGGUGCGAAAGCCAGGGGAGCGAACGGGAUUAGAUACCCCGGUAGUCCUGGCCGUAAACGAUGACCACCAGGUGUGGGAGGUAUCGACCCCUUCCGUGCCGGAGUAAACACACUAAGUGGUCCGCCUGGGGAGUACGGUCGCAAGAUUAAA